RNAcentral lists this ribosomal RNA (830 nucleotides) under uncultured marine bacterium. Its description in RNAcentral is "bacterial SSU rRNA". It matches the Rfam family "Bacterial small subunit ribosomal RNA", at positions 59 to 879 of the family's 1533-position model. The record is from RNAcentral.
AAGUCGAACGGCAGCGCGGGGAGCUUGCUCCCUGGCGGCGAGUGGCGGACGGGUGAGUAACGCGUAGGUAUCUGCCUAGUAGUGGGGGACAACCCGGGGAAACCCGGGCUAAUACCGCAUAAGCCCUAAGGGGGAAAGCGGGGGAUCUUCGGACCUCGCGCUAUUAGAUGAGCCUGCGUCGGAUUAGCUAGUUGGUGGGGUAAUGGCUCACCAAGGCGACGAUCCGUAGCUGGUCUGAGAGGACGAUCAGCCACACUGGGACUGAGACACGGCCCAGACUCCUACGGGAGGCAGCAGUGGGGAAUAUUGGACAAUGGGCGCAAGCCUGAUCCAGCAAUGCCGCGUGUGUGAAGAAGGCCUUAGGGUUGUAAAGCACUUUCAGUAGAGAAGAAAAGCCUAAGGUUAAUAACCUUGAGUCUUGACGUUAACUACAGAAGAAGCACCGGCUAACUCUGUGCCAGCAGCCGCGGUAAUACAGAGGGUGCGAGCGUUAAUCGGAAUUACUGGGCGUAAAGGGCGCGUAGGCGGCCUGAUAAGUCGGAUGUGAAAGCCCCGGGCUCAACCUGGGAACGGCAUUCGAUACUGUCAGGCUAGAGUAUGGUAGAGGAAAGCGGAAUUCCGGGUGUAGCGGUGAAAUGCGUAGAUAUCCGGAGGAACAUCAGUGGCGAAGGCGGCUUUCUGGACCAAUACUGACGCUGAGGCGCGAAAGCGUGGGGAGCGAACAGGAUUAGAUACCCUGGUAGUCCACGCCCUAAACGAUGAGAACUAGCCGUUGGGGACAUUUAAGUCCUUAGUGGCGCAGCUAACGCGUUAAGUUCUCCGCCUGGGGA